AACAUGCAAACCACAAGUACAGCCUACGGCUUUCUGACCAACGUCCUUUGCAUGCGCAGCAUGUAGUAAGGGUACCCCUUUAUCGGCCACAGGCCACAGGCCGAUUACGUGAAUUGAUGGUCUGGCCUAUAGGGUAGGAUCCGGGCUGGAAUUGGGGAAGAGCUCUGUCGCAGAAUUAGCCUGGAUUUUAUUCCUGACAAAAAAUCGGUCUGUCGGGGUCUUGAAAUGUUCUGGCAGGCUCGCCGGAGGUAUUCGAAUUGCGCUGUGGAGCCUGCCUCCAACCGGUUUCAUUCGGUCUGCAGUCCAUUUUGUUAAACCAGCCGAUUAAUGGCGUUAUUGUGGCGGUGUGUGGGUAUUCAGUCCAGGGUUCGCCGGGCAUGUAAGUCAGGACCGGAUUAUGAACCAUCACAGAUUGCCGUGCUUGCAGCAGCAGCCCAGCCAGCCAGCCAGCUAUAACUAGCGAACGAAAGCUUUGCUUGCCGAGAAACCCGCUGUGCCGCCGGCCUGUCCGCCGUUAGCUGUGGCGCCGUGUCUCCUGUGAGCCUCUCGAGCGGAAUCUAGGCUCACCCUACACCUAGCAGCCAGCAGCCAACGAGCCAUGCAUACCUUAUGCAAUCGACGCUGGCCUUAAGCUGGCCACAAGGGGCCACAAGUUCGCCUUAAGCCCUGUUAUGCAAGGCAACCCUACCUGACUGACCCGCAGGUAGGUAGCACUUGGUGAGCAGCAACACGCACUUGCGACCCAGUAUACUGUAUUCAUGAUAACGUCACCAUAUCAUGGUGAGGAAGCACCGCACGAGAUCAUCAAUCAUCUGUAAUUACCCUUAGGUUUUCUGAGUGAAAGCGAAAGAAACCCAAGGUUUUCUGAGUAUCUGAGUGCCGAGAUCGUACUCUGUUGAAUGUCGUUGGUGCGUACGGCUGGACCGCACAGGGCUAGUGUAAGUAACAGGAGUGCGAGUUCACAGUGUCAGAGAGUACUGACAGGUUUCCGCUGCGGCUUCUGUCCUAAUCUACAGCGUUCAGCAGCAAAUUCGCUUCGGUGACCAGGAGGCUCGCCAGAUGAAGUCAAGCACACUUUCCUGCCUACAGGUGCCUCUCCGUCCAGACGACCCCUAAGUGAUAAGGCAAGUACUCAACUAAUCAUUAUCUAUCAAAUUGGCAUUUCUGUUGCGAUGUAUAUAUACAUCCGUUAGGAAUGCAUGUCGCUCGUUGAUGGCGCUGUUGUACGGCGCGUAUGGUUGCACUACCCAACCGUCUGCUGCAAGCGUGUAGGCAUCUAUCACCGGAUUACGGCAUGUACAUCUAGCUAGAAUGAUUAUUAUCAUCUUAAGCCGUACACGUACCUCUAGCUGAGCAUAUUUAUGGUCAUGCUUGCGUAUCAAUACAUGUUGCUCGUGAUUGCGUGAAGCAGGGGUUACUAGGGUGAAGAGCUUUACCCCUGGCCACCGGCCUGGCAGUCCCUACCUUACUCGACGUUUCGGGGCACCCCCAUCCUUGCGCACUAAUUCCUUGUGCAUUAAAUGUUUUUGUUACCACAG
RNAcentral lists this long non-coding RNA (1538 nucleotides) under Volvox carteri. RNAcentral's name for it is "long non-coding RNA (VCAR_LNC000749)". The record is from RNAcentral. Lineage: Eukaryota; Viridiplantae; Chlorophyta; Chlorophyceae; Chlamydomonadales; Volvocaceae.